Molecule: ribosomal RNA, 468 nt
Filed under: uncultured bacterium
Lineage: Bacteria
Description: SSU rRNA
Rfam family: Bacterial small subunit ribosomal RNA
Source: RNAcentral
AGGACGAACGCUGGCGGCGUGCUUAACACAUGCAAGUGGAGCGACGAACCAGGGCUUGCCCUGGGGCAGAGCCGCGAACGGGUGAGUAACACGUGGGUUACCUGCCUCGAUGACCGGGACAACCCGAGGAAAACUCGGGCUAAUACCGGAUGUGCCCGCAAGGGGAAAGGAAGCUUCGGCCUCCGCAUCGAGAUGGGCCCGCGGCCCAUUAGCUUGUUGGUGAGGUAACGGCUCACCAAGGCUUCGAUGGGUAGCUGGUCUGAGAGGACGAUCAGCCACACUGGGACUGAGAACGGCCCAGACUCCUACGGGGGGCAGCAGUGAGGAAUUUUCCGCAAUGGACGCAAGUCUGACGGAGCAACGCCGCGUGCAGGAUGAAGGUUUUCGGAUCGUAAACUGCUUUUCUCGGGGACGAGCAAGGACGGUACCCGAGGAAGAAGCCCGGCUAACGUACGCGCCAGCAGCCGC